UACCAGCGGUCCAAGUCGCAAUCAGAUUUAUUGGGUCUAAAACAUCCGUAGCUCGUUAUGCAAGUCUCUUGUGAAAUCCUGUCUCUUAAGGGCAGAACUGCAAGAGAUACUGCAUGGCUAGAGACCGGGAGACGUGAGGAGUACAGUAAGGGUACCGGUAAAAUGGGUUGAUCCAUACUGGACUAACGAUAGCGAAGGCAACUUGCGAGAACGGAUCUGACAGUGAGGGAUGAAGGCUAGGGUCGCGAAUCGG
RNAcentral lists this ribosomal RNA (253 nucleotides) under uncultured archaeon. RNAcentral describes it as "partial 16S ribosomal RNA". It matches the Rfam family "Archaeal small subunit ribosomal RNA", at positions 474 to 727 of the family's 1478-position model. The record is from RNAcentral.